This 252-nucleotide ribosomal RNA is filed under the name Fusobacterium mortiferum. RNAcentral's name for it is "partial 16S ribosomal RNA". It matches the Rfam family "Bacterial small subunit ribosomal RNA", at positions 524 to 776 of the family's 1533-position model. The record is from RNAcentral. Lineage: Bacteria; Fusobacteriati; Fusobacteriota; Fusobacteriia; Fusobacteriales; Fusobacteriaceae.
UACGUAUGUCGCAAGCGUUAUCCGGAUUUAUUGGGCGUAAAGCGCGUCUAGGCGGUUUGGUAAGUCUGAUGUGAAAAUGCGGGGCUCAACUCCGUAUUGCGUUGGAAACUGCCAAACUAGAGUACUGGAGAGGUGGGCGGAACUACAAGUGUAGAGGUGAAAUUCGUAGAUAUUUGUAGGAAUGCCGAUGGGGAAGCCAGCCUACUGGACAGAUACUGACGCUAAAGCGCGAAAGCGUGGGUAGCAAACAGG